This 1701-nucleotide ribosomal RNA is filed under the name Escherichia coli. RNAcentral's name for it is "partial 23S ribosomal RNA". It matches the Rfam family "Bacterial large subunit ribosomal RNA", at positions 1 to 1746 of the family's 2925-position model. The record is from RNAcentral. Lineage: Bacteria; Pseudomonadati; Pseudomonadota; Gammaproteobacteria; Enterobacterales; Enterobacteriaceae.
GUUAAGCGACUAAGCGUACACGGUGGAUGCCCUGGCAGUCAGAGGCGAUGAAGGACGUGCUAAUCUGCGAUAAGCGUCGGUAAGGUGAUAUGAACCGUUAUAACCGGCGAUUUCCGAAUGGGGAAACCCAGUGUGAUUCGUCACACUAUCAUUAACUGAAUCCAUAGGUUAAUGAGGCGAACCGGGGGAACUGAAACAUCUAAGUACCCCGAGGAAAAGAAAUCAACCGAGAUUCCCCCAGUAGCGGCGAGCGAACGGGGAGCAGCCCAGAGCCUGAAUCAGUGUGUGUGUUAGUGGAAGCGUCUGGAAAGGCGCGCGAUACAGGGUGACAGCCCCGUACACAAAAAUGCACAUGCUGUGAGCUCGAUGAGUAGGGCGGGACACGUGGUAUCCUGUCUGAAUAUGGGGGGACCAUCCUCCAAGGCUAAAUACUCCUGACUGACCGAUAGUGAACCAGUACCGUGAGGGAAAGGCGAAAAGAACCCCGGCGAGGGGAGUGAAAAAGAACCUGAAACCGUGUACGUACAAGCAGUGGGAGCACGCUUAGGCGUGUGACUGCGUACCUUUUGUAUAAUGGGUCAGCGACUUAUAUUCUGUAGCAAGGUUAACCGAAUAGGGGAGCCGAAGGGAAACCGAGUCUUAACUGGGCGUUAAGUUGCAGGGUAUAGACCCGAAACCCGGUGAUCUAGCCAUGGGCAGGUUGAAGGUUGGGUAACACUAACUGGAGGACCGAACCGACUAAUGUUGAAAAAUUAGCGGAUGACUUGUGGCUGGGGGUGAAAGGCCAAUCAAACCGGGAGAUAGCUGGUUCUCCCCGAAAGCUAUUUAGGUAGCGCCUCGUGAAUUCAUCUCCGGGGGUAGAGCACUGUUUCGGCAAGGGGGUCAUCCCGACUUACCAACCCGAUGCAAACUGCGAAUACCGGAGAAUGUUAUCACGGGAGACACACGGCGGGUGCUAACGUCCGUCGUGAAGAGGGAAACAACCCAGACCGCCAGCUAAGGUCCCAAAGUCAUGGUUAAGUGGGAAACGAUGUGGGAAGGCCCAGACAGCCAGGAUGUUGGCUUAGAAGCAGCCAUCAUUUAAAGAAAGCGUAAUAGCUCACUGGUCGAGUCGGCCUGCGCGGAAGAUGUAACGGGGCUAAACCAUGCACCGAAGCUGCGGCAGCGACACUAUGUGUUGUUGGGUAGGGGAGCGUUCUGUAAGCCUGUGAAGGUGUACUGUGAGGUAUGCUGGAGGUAUCAGAAGUGCGAAUGCUGACAUAAGUAACGAUAAAGCGGGUGAAAAGCCCGCUCGCCGGAAGACCAAGGGUUCCUGUCCAACGUUAAUCGGGGCAGGGUGAGUCGACCCCUAAGGCGAGGCCGAAAGGCGUAGUCGAUGGGAAACAGGUUAAUAUUCCUGUACUUGGUGUUACUGCGAAGGGGGGACGGAGAAGGCUAUGUUGGCCGGGCGACGGUUGUCCCGGUUUAAGCGUGUAGGCUGGUUUUCCAGGCAAAUCCGGAAAAUCAAGGCUGAGGCGUGAUGACGAGGCACUACGGUGCUGAAGCAACAAAUGCCCUGCUUCCAGGAAAAGCCUCUAAGCAUCAGGUAACAUCAAAUCGUACCCCAAACCGACACAGGUGGUCAGGUAGAGAAUACCAAGGCGCUUGAGAGAACUCGGGUGAAGGAACUAGGCAAAAUGGUGCCGUAACUUCGGGAGAAGG